Molecule: long non-coding RNA, 1821 nt
Filed under: Nicotiana tabacum (common tobacco)
Lineage: Eukaryota; Viridiplantae; Streptophyta; Magnoliopsida; Solanales; Solanaceae
Description: long non-coding RNA (NTAB_LNC012411)
Source: RNAcentral
AAAUUCAAAGAUUUUUAGUUAGAAAGGGAGUAACCAAAACUAUUCCCCAACUUGAAUAGGUAAUUCUUUUUAGUUUUUUUUAUAUAAUAUUUUCGUUUUUAUUGUAGCUAAUUUAAUUUUUUCUUAUUUUUUUUUAAUUUUAAAAUAAUUUUAAAACUCCAACUUGAAACUACUCCCCAGUUUGAAUGCCGCUUGAAAAAUAUUUUGUCUUAACAAUGCCACUUGACUUUUUGUAUUUUUUAUUUGAAUUGAAAGUGUUUUUAUUUUAAAAUAAUUUUAAAACUCUAUCUUGAAACUACUCCCCAAUUUGAAUGGGUAUUUCUUUUAUUUAUAUAUUUUCAUUUUUAUUAUAGCUAAUUUUAUAUUUUUAUUUUAAUAUUUUUUUAAAACUCCAACUUGAAACUACUUCCCAAUUUGAAUGGGUAUUUUUUUUAUUUAUAUAUUUCCAUUUUUAUUAUAGCUAAUUUUACUUUUUUAUUUGUUUUUUUAUUUUAAUAUUUUUUUUAAACUCCAACUUGUAACUACUCCCCAAUUUGAAUGGGUAAUUAUUUUCGAUUUUUAUUAUAGCUAAUUAUAAUAUAUCUAUAUUUAUUAAUUCAAAUAGAGUAAUCAAUUAAUUCAAAAUUUAAAAUUCAAAAGAUUCUUUUGUUAGAAAGGUAGUUUAUUUUGUCUUAAAACUCCAACUUGAAACUACUCCCAAAUUUGAAUUUGCAAUUGUUUUAAUUUUUUCAACUUCGUUUUUUACUUAAAAUAAUUUUAAAAUACCAACUUUGUUUGAGCUUUAUCCUAAAAAUCUAUUUCUUUAUUUUUAUUUUUUAUUUUAAAAUAAUUUAAAACUCCAACUUGAAACUUGAGCUUUAUCCUAAAAAGUUAUUUCUUUAUUUUUAUUUUCGUUUUUUAUUUUAAAUAAUUUAAAACUCCAACUUGAAACUGGAGCUUUAUAAUAAAAAGCUAUUUUUUUAUUUUUAUUUUCGUUUUUUAUUUUAAAAUAAUUUAAAACUCCAACUUGAAACUGGAGCUUUAUAAUAAAAAGCUAUUUCUUUAUUUUUAUUUUCGUUUUUUAUUUUAAAAUAACUUAAAACUCCGACUUAAAACUAUUCCCCAACUUGAAUAGGUAGUUUUUUUUUAUCAAAAAUUUUCAUGGCCUUGCUGCAAAAUUCCAUCACUAAUUGCCAAGCUCGUUUCUCACUUCUUCCCCAGAAUGCCACCACCUAAACACUUGGAAAAAAAAAAUCCAGAUCUGAAUUGAAAUUCAAGAACAAAAUUGCCCAUAGAAACUCCAAUAAUCACAUCAAUCAUAUAUUGGUCAAAAUCAACCAACCCACAUCUAUGAAAUUCAAGUACAAAAUCAAGUGGGAAUGAAAACAGAAUAAGAUAACCUCUAAAAUUAAAAUUCUAAAUUCUAAAUUUAAAGCGCUUUGAAUUCGAGUGGGUAUUCAUGGAGCUUUUAGGUUUCAGCUUUAAUCUUUAACUGAUAUUAUCAACAAUAAUAUGAAAUUUCUAAUUUUUCUUAAAGCUUCAAAUUUUUGAAGAAUCGGGUAAUAAGAAUUUCAAACUGAUGUUACCUGAAUUCAUCAUCGAACAAAGCAACAUAAAAGGGGCCAACAAUUUUCUCUUUCUAUGCAUUUUAUUUUGUUAAAACCUUCAACGCAUAGAUUAUGUCAUUAUCAAGCCAGCAAAAUUCCUACAAAAUUUAAAAAGUUUUCGGCCUAUUUUGCUUCAAGACACUGGAGGAGGAAGGGGAAGAGUGGUGGAGGAGAGAGAGGGAUGAGAAUGGUGACAAAUGAGUUGUAGCAAUAGGCCAGGGACGGUGGUGAUGAA